GAGUUAAAAAAUGUUUUUUUCUGAAUGCGCUUAUGGCGCUCUUAAUAAUUAUAUUUUGUAAUCCGCAGAUCACAAACGACUGCUUAAUGAACCAUCAUCUCUGGAACUUGACAGUCGUAAUAAAGUGCAGGUGGAGCACGAUCUGGUGAAGACAAAUAAUGAAUUAUCAACGCAAGAUGCUCCUGCUCCUGUAUAGAAACAACAUGGUCAGGACACAAACUGAAAAAACUCACCCCAGAAUUGUAAGAAAUAACUAUGCGCAGCUCACUAAAUUGGACUGCACACUGCCAUUUCAUACCGAAAGAUUCUUCCAAAAUCCAACACUUGAAAAUCAAAUUUGAUGACUUUGGACGACGCCGGAUAAACCGCUCAUUUGGUACGAUCACUCUAUUCAAUCGUUGGAUUGGAUCCGAUUUUGAAAUCGGUUUCAAAAUAAAAUCCGAAAACUUUUUACGUGAAAAAGGCCGCCGUACAGCUGGAUCAAAAUUAAUUUAUAAGAGUUCCGGUCGCUUUUCCGCUGAUUAGUUAUUGAACUGAAUUUCUGAAGCAACAAGGAAAAACAUCAACGGCAAUUGCAGUUCAGAAUACACGGACAUCCAUUAUCAUCGUUUACGGCCGCAUCCGGAUUGACUCUACGAAUUGAGAUUCUACUAAUAAAAACCUUUCAAACAGUUUGCAGUUUAGGUUAAGACGUCGCCUCGCUUCCAGAUGCGUCUACAAGCGUUUUUAAAUACGCAUCCUUCUAAGGAAAUUCAAAUACGCGAAUAAUAUUAAUGCUAUUCGUGUUUCGAAUUUCGACAAAAAAUCAAUGAGCGCCACCAAAGCAACACCAUCAAAACCGCAUAGUUUGCCUUAUCUUUUAAAAAUGGAAAAACUCAAAUCUGCAAUCGAUUGCAAUAUCAUUUUAAAUCCAUGCACUGCUUACGGAAGGUGCCACCACAUUACCAUAUUCUUUGAACAAUUCGAGAAGAAAAAAUGCAACA
Long non-coding RNA from Uranotaenia lowii, 983 nucleotides. RefSeq lists it as uncharacterized. The transcript is spliced from 3 exons. NCBI's taxonomy places the organism in Eukaryota, Metazoa, Arthropoda, Insecta, Diptera, Culicidae. The record is from RefSeq and is a predicted model, not a curated record.